GAGUUCUGCCUGCUGGUAGAAAGGCCUCUUUGUGUCUGACCGUCUGUGCCUUUCCACCGCUGACGUUUAUUUUCCCCUCAGCUGACCGCUUGGUGUGCUGAGCCGCUGCCGUCAUGCUUCAGCUUUGAGAAAGAAAGAAGGAAAAGAAAGAAAGAAAGAAAGAAAGAAAGCCGAGUGGGAAAAAAAAGAGCAAAAGAACGUUUUGGUUUCAGCAGCUGCAGCUUUCAUUUUCACAACUCUCGAGUGUCGCGUCAGCUCAGCGGCCUCGCCGGCUGAAAGCGGCUUCUAAACCGCUCGGGCCUGUGGCUUCUCCUACGCCAGCUUCAUCUGCUGUUUCGGUGCCGGCCAAGGCCACCCAGAACACGCGCGGCUUUCCUUUCCAUUUUUUGGGUUGUUUCGCAUUUAUCGCAAGGCCAUCGAGCCAAAGCCCGCGAGGCAAUUUCCAUCCGCACGAGACGAGGGAGCACAACGCACAACUUUGACUCCCCGGUUCCGGCCCACACAACACACACGGCGAUCCACCAGCAGAGAGAUCUGUCAGUUCAGUUCGGGUUGCUCCAUUAACACACCGGCGGCCCCCACCCAACCACCUCCACCACCACCACGGAGCAUCUGAUGUGGUUGUUGGGGGCCGGAGAAGAAGCAGCGGUGUGUUUGAGAAAAGACUACUUGUUUGUGUGAGGAACACGGCGGACACCACGGAGCAUGAAGCCCUCUCGUCCAUGUGACCGGACGUCUUUCCUCCAGUGACUCCGGCUCUUUGUCUCCCUCUACAGGAACAGGAUCUCCCAGGAGAUGACGAACAGACGUUUAUGUACCUUUCAUUUCUUGUUUCUUUUCCAUCGACGUUUCUUCGGUUUCACGGUUCCUUUCACGGGCCUCCGAGCUGAGCAGCUCCCCCCCCCCGUGUUCUGUUUGGACCCCUGCUUUUAAAUGCCGCUCUCAAUGGGGGGAGGCAGAAAUCAGUAGUUCUCCCUUUGUGAGGAACACGUUUGGCUCGAUGAGACUUGAGGACGCUGGUGGAUUUCAGUGAUUGCCAUCGAUUUAGACUUCACUCCGUGUCAAGAGGCAAGCAGCGGAUUGUAUUUUGGGGACUCAUUUGUUCUCACACCGCGGGAAACCAAAGGCAGGAUCGGUAUGAGGUGUAAUGCUGCCGGCGGUGGUUCGCCGCUAUCUCUCCAAUUUAAUGCUAUUGAUCCAUUUGCCGAAGAAGAGGAAGCUCCAGUUAAAGCUGGUGAUGAAAUCGAAUCAAAAACAUGAUCUGAAUAUAUGAUCAAACAUCUGAUGUUUUCAUUGACGAUGUAUUUGCAAAGUGUGUUCCCAUUGCGGCCUGUUCUAUUCUGGUUUUCAAAUCAAGACAAACAUUUAAAUAAAAAACAAUUUUAGAUGACAAAGUAAAAGGAUAAAUUCAAGAUAAUUGGAUCAAUAAUGAAAUCAGUAUUGGUCAACGCACAAAGACAUCAAAUUGUUUUCCGGGUUAAUUAGGAGGCACUUCAUACCGAGAACACAGAGGGAAAGACUUUCUUCUUGUGAAAGUAUUCUACUGGGUUGUAAAGAUAAUGAAAGUCAGACACAAUGUGAUUUUUAACAUUAACUGCUUGUGUGUCCCUCAGAGAGUGACGGAUGCCGGUUAACAAAAUGAGCCCCUCGUUUGCCGUAAACAUAACUCUAUUUACCACCAGGCACGAAAAUGUCCUCGUCAAAGUGACAUUAUAAUAGAUUUUUACGUUCCAUCACACUUCGAGUUCACUGUCAAGUGGCGGCCUUUAAACAAGAUGCUAAACAGCAGCACCUCCCUCGGCUUCUCUCCAAACCACUUUCCAUCAUUGCUGUUGUUUCGUUUUCUAUCCUGAAGAUUCAUUUCCUGCGGGAGCCACAUGUUCAACCAGGGGCAAUCGUCAAUCAUCGGGAGCUGUUUGUGUCACGUUGAAAGGCCGACGAAGAAGGAACUAAACAUUCUAUUAGACGAAAUACAACCGAAAAUUUGGAGAAGGUUUAGCGGUGGACAGUGGCCCUGAUGAAAUAACAGCACAAAGGGGGAGUGCUCAUUGUUCAGCUGUCUGGCCUGCAACUUUUAGGAUUUUUGUUUCAGUCUCCCCUUGACAGUUUGUCAUUUUGGACUCCAGCCGGCAAAAAGCUCUAAAGCCUCCAACGUAAACUACAUAUCUGCUCUGCAUCAGGCAGAGUAACAAAGUGGUGCAUUUAGCGGCUAGAGAGCCUGAUAUUUGCCACAGCGGUUGAUUGAGGCAGAGAAAAGAGCAGAGUGAAUAUUAUGAAUGUAUAAACAUUUUGUCUAUUCUCUGGCCGUCCCUCCCUAGAUCGGUUGAAUUUACUGCAAACGGAUUUGUACUCUUUGUUCGUUCAGCUGCCUGCUUGGUAUCUUGCGUUUGGUUCUACGUCGUAAAACGUCUGCUCUGUUUGGUACCCGGGCCGAACUGUCGAGGUGAUGAAAGCAGGAGCCUCACAGCUGGAAAAAGUCUGAAAGGCCGUCUUCCCCUGAAGGUGGUUCCAGCGGCUCCACUACGAAAAUAAAAAAAGAACUCGGUCUCACCGAGAGAAAACUUUAAAAUAAUGAGCUACAACGCACGCUUGGAUAAAAUCAUUACAAACCAAGAACCUAUUUUUUGGAAGUGAACCGAUUUCAUUCACAAGGUUAAAAAAAACUUUUUCGAUGUUGAAUUUCCCUCUUCAUUGCAACCAAAACACAGAAGACGUCCAUUGAAAUCCUCUGUAAAAUGUCAAACAAGUUUUAGGAACAUUCCCUGUGUCAUAAUAACGCAUUUUACGUUUUCCUCAAUCAUUCUACAAAGAAAGAGAACCUCUGCACACACAUUGUUUAGUUUUUGAACAUUUUUUCGUGCAUCAAUAAUAAAACACAAUCUAUUACAUUUGAAUAUUAUUUUAAAUGUAAUAGAGUCUGGCGGCUCUAUUAUCAGAUAUUAUCAGUCUAAUAUCAGACAAUGCUUAUUGGAAUGAUGGGUAUGUGAUGUGGCCAAAUGUCACCUUUUAACUUGGAUACUGUUGUAUUUGCUUAUACUGCAUACAAAUAAACAAGUAUUCACCAG
Long non-coding RNA from Gasterosteus aculeatus aculeatus (three-spined stickleback), 3065 nucleotides. The record is from Ensembl. NCBI's taxonomy places the organism in Eukaryota, Metazoa, Chordata, Actinopteri, Perciformes, Gasterosteidae.